UGGGGAAUUGUUCGCAAUGGGCGCAAGCCUGACGACGCAACGCCGCGUGGAGGACGAAGAUCUUCGGGUCGUAAACUCCUUUCGAUCGGGAAGAACGGCUUCCGGGUGAAUAAUCCGGGAGAGUGACGGUACCGGGAGAAUAAGCCACGGCUAACUCCGUGCCAGCAGCCGCGGUAAUACGGAGGGGGCUAGCGUUGUUCGGAAUUACUGGGCGUAAAGCGUACGUAGGCGGCUUUGUAAGUUAGAGGUGAAAGCCCGGAGCUCAACUCCGGAAUUGCCUUUAAGACUGCAUCGCUUGAAUCGUGGAGAGGUUAGUGGAAUUCCGAGUGUAGAGGUGAAAUUCGUAGAUAUUCGGAAGAACACCAGUGGCGAAGGCGGCUCACUGGCCCGGUACUGACGCUGAGGUGCGAAAGCGUGGGGAGCAAA
This 426-nucleotide ribosomal RNA is filed under the name uncultured bacterium. RNAcentral's name for it is "bacterial SSU rRNA". It matches the Rfam family "Bacterial small subunit ribosomal RNA", at positions 355 to 772 of the family's 1533-position model. The record is from RNAcentral.